Molecule: transfer RNA, 77 nt
Filed under: Fischerella sp.
Lineage: Bacteria; Bacillati; Cyanobacteriota; Cyanophyceae; Nostocales; Hapalosiphonaceae
Also listed under: 4 other names
Description: tRNA-Ala
Rfam family: tRNA
About the family: Transfer RNA (tRNA) molecules are approximately 80 nucleotides in length. Their secondary structure includes four short double-helical elements and three loops (D, anti-codon, and T loops). Further hydrogen bonds mediate the characteristic L-shaped molecular structure. tRNAs have two regions of fundamental functional importance: the anti-codon, which is responsible for specific mRNA codon recognition, and the 3' end, to which the tRNAs corresponding amino acid is attached (by aminoacyl-tRNA synthetases). tRNAs cope with the degeneracy of the genetic code in two manners: having more than one tRNA (with a specific anti-codon) for a particular amino acid; and 'wobble' base-pairing, i.e. permitting non-standard base-pairing at the 3rd anti-codon position.
Source: RNAcentral
GGGGCGAUAGCUCAGUUGGCUAGAGCACCUGCUUUGCAAGCAGGGGGUCCGGGGUUCGAGUCCCCGUCGCUCCACCA